CUCAUCCCAAUCUGAGAACUCCUGGUUGAAUGCCUUGGAGAAGGCCUGGGCUCCACACUUUGGAAGAGUUCAGAGUCUAGUUAAGAGAUGGGACACUUCUGGGAUCUCUGUAACUUUUUAUUGUCCCUAUGGAAGUGGGAAAUGUCACCCUUGCAUGGCAACAUCGAAGCUUCCUCGGUGGUAGACAGCAUGGAUCUCUCGUCGUGGCAGCUGUAGGAAACACAGGAACUCCGUGACCUGGAAAAUGUGGGACAACUGCCACAAGGUGACCCUGGAAGGCUGGGGUAUGAAGGAGUGAAUGAAUGAAUGAAAUCACUUUGAUCCGAGAUCCUGCAGACUGAAAUUUACUUGUUGAAACAACCGGCCCGCCGUCCGCAUGACUAUCGUGGCUUUAGCCGCCGGGACCCCUCCAGAGCCGGCAGCCUCAGUGAGGCCACCCUCCGCUCGGGCUCUGGGGCAGUUCCAUGACGGUGGAGGGAAGAGACCCCGAGCCGGGAGUUCCAUCUCUGCGGAAAAACCCUAAUAUUUAUUUUUAAUAAAAAAGAUGAGAUUGCUGAAUCGAUUGUGAUUAAGGCUUAUAAUGGUAUUUAAGAACACAUCAAAAAGGCUUGGGUUUAAAUCUCAGAUCCACCACUUGGACCUCUGUGAUUUGGGGAAGUUAUUUAACUUUCCAAAGCUUCAGUUUCCUUAUUUAUACAAUAGAAAUAACAAUAGUACCUAUACUACAUAGGGUUGCUAUGAGGAUUAAAUGAGAUAAGACAUAUAUAGUGCACUGCCUGCCCAUAAUAUAUUUCCAAUAAGUACUGAUUAUUUCUAUUGUUAUUAUUUUGAAGGUGUUGAUAAUGAUGACUUUAGUUUUAACCACUAUAGAAUCUAGUGACUUUAUAAACUAUUGGACAUCUUUGAGUCAUGUGUUUUUCCAGUUGUGCGAUUUUAUGAGCAUGUCUCUUAGUUUCCUUAGCUGUAAAGUUCUAUGAAUCCAUUCUGAAUUUCCACACACCUUCAACAAAAUCAUAAGUGAAAAGGAGAAGUUAAAACAUAUGUUCUGGGGAGGAGUCAAGAUGGCGGUGUGGGAAGACGCAGAGUUAGCAUCUCCCCACAACUAGGGC
Long non-coding RNA from Aethalodelphis obliquidens (Pacific white-sided dolphin), 1109 nucleotides. RefSeq lists it as uncharacterized. The transcript has 4 exons. Lineage: Eukaryota; Metazoa; Chordata; Mammalia; Artiodactyla; Delphinidae. The record is from RefSeq and is a predicted model, not a curated record.